This 165-nucleotide ribosomal RNA is filed under the name Musa balbisiana (Balbis banana). RNAcentral's name for it is "5.8S ribosomal RNA". It matches the Rfam family "5.8S ribosomal RNA". From Rfam's summary of the family: 5.8S ribosomal RNA (5.8S rRNA) is a component of the large subunit of the eukaryotic ribosome. It is transcribed by RNA polymerase I as part of the 45S precursor that also contains 18S and 28S rRNA. Lineage: Eukaryota; Viridiplantae; Streptophyta; Magnoliopsida; Zingiberales; Musaceae. The record is from RNAcentral.
GGAUGACUCUCGGCAACGGAUAUCUCGGCUCUCGCAUCGAUGAAGAACGUAGCGAAAUGCGAUACCUGGUGUGAAUUGCAGAAUCCCGUGAACCAUCGAGUCUUUGAACGCAAGUUGCGCCCGAGGCCAUCCGGCUAAGGGCACGCCUGCCUGGGCGUCACGCUU